CAAAAAAUAGUUUAUAAAAUAUUAGCAUUGGAAGCUAAAGUUCCAUGUUUUCAUGGUUUUUUGA
RNAcentral lists this transfer RNA (64 nucleotides) under Graptacme eborea. RNAcentral's name for it is "tRNA-Pro". Lineage: Eukaryota; Metazoa; Mollusca; Scaphopoda; Dentaliida; Dentaliidae. The record is from RNAcentral.